ACAAGGAAUACAAAUCUUACAAAGAUGACAGCAAAAAUGUAUUUGUCUUUUACACGGCUUAUGGUGGAUGAGGACAAAAACUUUGGAAUAGCAAGCUAACACUGAAAAAAAAAAUGACAAAUUAAUGUGUCCUAUUAUCCAGGCUACAUCAGGAGGUUGGACUUCAAUGCAGUGCAUUUCUAGAAACAGUUUGU
Tupaia belangeri chinensis (Chinese tree shrew) is the source of this 194-nucleotide long non-coding RNA. RefSeq lists it as uncharacterized. The transcript has 2 exons. The record is from RefSeq and is a predicted model, not a curated record. NCBI's taxonomy places the organism in Eukaryota, Metazoa, Chordata, Mammalia, Scandentia, Tupaiidae.